AUUGAACGCUGGCGGCAUGCUUUACACAUGCAAGUCGAACGGUAACAGGCCUUCGGGUGCUGACGAGUGGCGAACGGGUGAGUAAUGCAUCGGAACGUACCCAGAGUAGGGGGAUAACGCAGCGAAAGCUGUGCUAAUACCGCAUGUGACGUGUGGAUGAAAGCGGGGGACCGAGCAGCAAUGUUUGACCUCGCGCCUUUGCAGCGGCCGAUGUCGGUUUAGAUAGUUGGUGGGGUCAAGGUCUACCAAGACGACGAUCCGUAGCUGGUCUGUGAGUACGACCAGCGACACUGGUACUUGUGCACGGACCAGACUCCUACGGUAGGCAGCAGUGGGGAAUUUUGGACAAUGGGCGCAAUCCUGAUCCAGCAAUGCCACGUGCGGGAAGAAGGCCGUCGGGUUGUAAACCGCGUUUGGAAGGAACGAAACGGUGUCCGCUAAUACCGUGCGCUAAUGGCGGUACCUGCAGAAUGAGCACCGGCUAACUACGUG
This 492-nucleotide ribosomal RNA is filed under the name uncultured bacterium. RNAcentral describes it as "partial 16S ribosomal RNA". It matches the Rfam family "Bacterial small subunit ribosomal RNA", at positions 30 to 507 of the family's 1533-position model. The record is from RNAcentral.